RNAcentral lists this ribosomal RNA (873 nucleotides) under Acinetobacter baumannii. RNAcentral describes it as "bacterial SSU rRNA". It matches the Rfam family "Bacterial small subunit ribosomal RNA", at positions 1 to 869 of the family's 1533-position model. The record is from RNAcentral. Lineage: Bacteria; Pseudomonadati; Pseudomonadota; Gammaproteobacteria; Moraxellales; Moraxellaceae.
AACUGAAGAGUUUGAUCAUGGCUCAGAUUGAACGCUGGCGGCAGGCUUAACACAUGCAAGUCGAGCGGGGGAAGGUAGCUUGCUACCGGACCUAGCGGCGGACGGGUGAGUAAUGCUUAGGAAUCUGCCUAUUAGUGGGGGACAACAUCUCGAAAGGGAUGCUAAUACCGCAUACGUCCUACGGGAGAAAGCAGGGGAUCUUCGGACCUUGCGCUAAUAGAUGAGCCUAAGUCGGAUUAGCUAGUUGGUGGGGUAAAGGYCUACCAAGGCGACGAUCUGUAGCGGGUCUGAGAGGAUGAUCCGCCACACUGGGACUGAGACACGGCCCAGACUCCUACGGGAGGCAGCAGUGGGGAAUAUUGGACAAUGGGGGGAACCCUGAUCCAGCCAUGCCGCGUGUGUGAAGAAGGCCUUAUGGUUGUAAAGCACUUUAAGCGAGGAGGAGGCUACUCUAGUUAAUACCUAGAGAUAGUGGACGUUACUCGCAGAAUAAGCACCGGCUAACUCUGUGCCAGCAGCCGCGGUAAUACAGAGGGUGCGAGCGUUAAUCGGAUUUACUGGGCGUAAAGCGUGCGUAGGCGGCUUAUUAAGUCGGAUGUGAAAUCCCCGAGCUUAACUUGGGAAUUGCAUUCGAUACUGGUGAGCUAGAGUAUGGGAGAGGAUGGUAGAAUUCCAGGUGUAGCGGUGAAAUGCGUAGAGAUCUGGAGGAAUACCGAUGGCGAAGGCAGCCAUCUGGCCUAAUACUGACGCUGAGGUACGAAAGCAUGGGGAGCAAACAGGAUUAGAUACCCUGGUAGUCCAUGCCGUAAACGAUGUCUACUAGCCGUUGGGGCCUUUGAGGCUUUAGUGGCGCAGCUAACGCGAUAAGUAGAC